GUGAGUGAUGAAGGCCUUAGGGUUGUAAAGCUNUUUUACCAGGAUGAUAAUGACAGUACCUGGAGAAUAANCCCCGGCUAACUCCGUGCCAGCANCCNCGUAAUACGGAGGGGGCUAGCGUUGUUCGGAAUUACUGGGCGUAAAGAGUACGUAGGCGGUUAUUCAAGUCAGAGGUGAAAGCCUGGAGNUCAACUCCAGAACUGCCUUUGAAANUAGAUAGCUAGAAUCAUGGAGAGGUUAUUGGAAUU
Molecule: ribosomal RNA, 248 nt
Filed under: uncultured bacterium
Lineage: Bacteria
Description: partial 16S rRNA
Rfam family: Bacterial small subunit ribosomal RNA
Source: RNAcentral